CCGAGUUCUAAACAAACUCCCAAAACCCCCUGUGAAACAUACCUACUGUUGCUUUCGGCGGGAACCGCCCCGGGCGCCUUCUCGGUGCCCCGGAAACCAGGCGCCCGCCGGGGACAACCAAAACUCUUGAUUGUUAUAAGUGGCAUUCUCUGAGUAAAACAUACAAAUAAGUCAA
This 175-nucleotide unclassified non-coding RNA is filed under the name soil metagenome. RNAcentral's name for it is "partial internal transcribed spacer 1". The record is from RNAcentral.